RNAcentral lists this long non-coding RNA (7917 nucleotides) under Lactuca sativa (garden lettuce). RNAcentral describes it as "long non-coding RNA (LSAT_LNC006515)". The record is from RNAcentral. Lineage: Eukaryota; Viridiplantae; Streptophyta; Magnoliopsida; Asterales; Asteraceae.
UUUUAACUUCCUUAAUGUAUAAACAUUGCUCAAAAAUGUUAGAAGGUGUUAAUAAAUCUAUAAACCACUUUUGACAGUUUUACCCUUUACUGUCCCUGUUUUUAGAAAACUCAUAGAAAAAUCAUCGUAAGUCAAAAACUGAAUCCGUCACCUCUGAGAGUUUAUAAAAUGAGUCUACUUUGUUCCUAAUUUUUAUUAUGAUUUUUAGUGGUCUCAAACUAGUGUGAAAAUGAACAUCUUCACAGACUGGUCCGAAAUCACUUCUGAAAUGACAGGCAGUUUUAUAAAAAUCGCCAUAAAUUGUAGAAAAAUCGUAUGAACGCGUGCGAGUAGUCAUUAGAAAGGUAUAAACUUGAACUAUUUGCAUAUUGUACAUUUUUGAAUGAUAUUAAGUUUAAGAUGGUCAAAACAGUCCGUGAACAGGACUCAACUUUUCUGUAGAAAGCUGUCAUUUAAAUUUAAGUUAUGUUUAGUGUUCUAACUUGUAUUCCCCCCCUUAAAACUUGAAUAAAACAUGAAAAUGUAGGGGUAUGAACUCACCUUAUGUGAAUACUUGAAGAAUGGAAAGUUGAAGAUGAACUUUUGGUUGUUGGUUUGAUGCUCCAAAACAGCCACUCUUUUGGCUAUGUUGCUGUCACGAAAAUUUCACAGCAAAAGAGCAAGAAAAAGGGUAGUUUACUCACUGUUUUGAAUCAAUAAUUUUGAGUAUCAUAACAAGUAACUUCCAGGGGUAUUUGGUGGUAAAAAUAUCAAGCAAAAGGAAGGUGUAGAUGGGUGAAAUGGUGGCUGAAACACAAAAGGGACAGCAACCCUUUAGUUCAUGGUUUUGAUGGCUUUGGAAGGAAGUUCUUGUGCUUGAAAAUGAGAUGAAGGUUGAGAGUAAUUACUUGGAGUAUUGGCUGGUCAAAUGAGGGUAAAAUGAAGAGGAAAUUUCGUGGUUAUGAAGGAGGAAAGGGUGGAAGAGGAUAAGGGGACAAAACCUAGACUAGCUUGUGAUGGGAUGUGAGUUUAAGUGAUGUGAUCUUGUCUAGCCACUUGCUUGGGUGGUUGUUUAGAGAUAGAGUUAGUUAACUAACUAACUACUAGUUAUUUAGUUAGUUAGGAGUUCUAGUUAAGGAGAGGGAAGGUCUUAAUCUCGAAAAUUAGAAGAGGGAUUAAUAAGCAUUCUUAGUAAAAUGUCUUAAGUGAUUAAGCACUUAUUAGUUAAGUUGGCACUUAUCUCCACCAAUUCUCUUAUCUUAAUUGAUUUAGACAUCAUAAAACUUACAUGAAAUCAUUUUAAUUCAUGACUUAUAACUAGUCAUUCACUAGAUAAUAAUACAUAUAUACAAAUACAUACAUGUAUACUUAGUAUAAAAUAACAAUGUAGUUUUUGUGUAUUUGAACUUUAAUGUUUAUGUUUUAUUCUUUUUAUUCAAAAACACUUAAAUACAUUUUAAUUAUACCUUAUAAUAAUUCAUUUUAUAUUUUAAUUUAUUUAAAUAUAAAAUUUAUUGAGCAAUGUAUAAUUUCGUGACAUUUAACCGGUUAACCAUAUCGUUAAACACGUUUUGUCACUUUGGUUCGUAUAUUUGUCAAAUUUAGAUCCUUCACAUCUAUUAAGCAAACGUUUUACAUAGAACCUAACUUACUUAUCAAAUAGAGACAUGUUGAUACAAAAAUUAAGUUUGUUGCGUUUAAAUGAUGUUAUAUGCUAAUUUCACAAACCGGUGAUGGUUCGUAGUCAUACAUCAUAACGAAAUUUAUCAAUAGUUACUUGUUUUAUAUUUCACAAUAACUUAUUUAAAUAAAAGAGGUUAAAUUCCUUCAACCAUUCUUAAUAAAAUACUCAUAUUGCUUAAUAAUCAAAAGAUAGCAUCGUACGAUCGUUCCUAUUUUUACCAAUUGUUACAUUCUCCCCCCGUUAAAAGAAUUUCGCCCCGAAAUUCAACUUGUAGACGGGAUAUCACUAAACAAUUGGGGGUGUUUCUUUUUUUUAUUUUUUUUUUUUUGAUUCGCGCGUUCCCUAGUGAAUUCAGGUCCUCGCUUGGCGUUCCAACGGGCCUUCACUAUGGGUAUGCGGCUUUGUUUCGUCCUUUUGACCUCCUGAUCCAUGAUUUCCACCGGUUCUUCGAUGAAGUUUAGACUCCCGUUGAUUUCAAUUUCAUCCAGUGGAAUAACAAGAGUCUCAUCAGACAAGCUCUUCUUCCGAUCCUGGGAUGCCUUCAAUCAUUCACGGGUUUGAACAAUCUUCUCUGUAGUUUCUCGUAUGAUCUGGGGGCUGGUGAAAGUGUUGUUAGGAACUUGCCUGUUAGCUAUUUGUGUGUCACCUACCUCAUCCCAUCAAAGAGGUGAUCUACACUUGCUUCUGCAGAGAGCUUCGAAUGACGUGACCUUGAUGUUAAUGUAAUAGUUGAUGUUGUAUAAGGAUUCGAUGAAUGGUUCUUCCUCUUUGUCUUUCAGUUUGAGGGUGAUAAAAAGGACUUCUUUAACGACUAUUAAAAACACGAGGCGAAUCGCCUGUCCCUUAUCCAAAAUGAUAGAUAGUGGUAUACUAUGCAGUCUCGCAAUUUUCUUUGUAUAUGCUCCUGUUAGCUUUUCUAUUUUUCUUUGUAUCCUUGGUCGGUAGAAAGUGUGUGGGUUUGGUUGAUUUGUCUACGAUCGCUCAAGUGGUAGCAUGUCCAUCCACUGUCCUGGGUAACUUGUCAUGGAGUUCAUGGUAUGACUCAUAACUGAUUCAUCUAUCAUCUCUUUGUGUUUAUAAGUCGUAUAUAAUUAAGAUUGAAAAGACAGUCGAAUCGGUGAUUCUAUUCUAAGCCCACAUCCAAACAAGGAAAAGGAUUUAAAGCGGAAUUACCAACCCUAAGUCCGUAGAAUCUUAAUUAUAUAGGGCUCCAAUAUAUACACUUAGUAAUCAUAGAUUCACUAGUAUGGGUCCAUAGUCUCUACUUGAGUGGGGUGAUUAACUUGGGUGAGAUGGCAUUUACCACAACCCUUUUCCGCAACUACUACACUUAGGUUGAUUUUUGAACUCGGGUUACCGUAUGGAUGGUAUUCCCAGGAGAUCUUCUCGGAAUAUAUCGAGAAGGUUACGGGCUUUUUCAACAUCCAUGAUGUCUUUCUCUUCUUGUUUCUUAUCCACAGCACAGGCUAGGACGGCGUGGUGCCUCCUGUGUAGGUACUUCUGAGUCUUGUUGCAAAAGGUGAGUCGGGGGAUUGUGUCCGGUUUGUCGUUAUAGACAACGAGGGUUCUAUUACUCGAUGGGUUUAGGCGAAUGGACUUUUCGUAAUAUAUGAUAUCGGUAUGGUGAGGAAACUAACUAAUACGUUGUUAAAAUGAAAAUGUCGUAAAUUUUUAUUGUGACCGGUUUUAGGAUGAUUUGAAUGAAUUGGUUGAUUUAGUGUUAGAGUGCACCCUAUGUACACGUCUCUAGUGCUUUUGAUUAUUCCAAUUCUACUGUAAAUAUUUCGUUUAAGUUUUUGAGGUUUUUGGUUGAGAAAUUGAUUAAAUCUACGACUCACAAUACUCCUCUCCGCGUUGCUAUUAUAUAGUAUCCAUGCAUAUGUGCUAUCGGGAAUGAACGUACCGGAAUCUCAGCGGGGUCUAUUACUGCUUUCCCACGCUCUGUUGCUAAAACACUUCCGAUGCUCUUGACAUCUUUGUUUUUAGUCUCCGGGAACUCCUUUAUGAAAUGCCCUACUUCUCCACAUCUGUAGCAAGUCCGACUCAUCCCAGCUUUUGUGUUCUGGUUGGUCUGUUGAGCCGGCACCCUACAGAACUUUGUGGUAUGCCCCUUUUUCAUUAUAGUUCUUGCAAUGCAUUUCCCUGCACUUUCCUUUGUGAUGAAAGCUACACUUGGUGCAUUUUGGCAGGUUUCCAACAUAUGGUCUUGUUGGCACUGAGGUAGUAGGGAUGGUGGUGGUAUGGAAUGUCACUGUUUGUUGUACAAGUUGAGGUAUCGUGGAUUGGUGAAUAAUAAAAUCCAACCACUGAAAGAGACUUGGAAAUGUCUCCGUAUCUAACUUGCUAUGGUCCAAUGACUUAACUAAAGCAGGUUUCAGAUAGACUCCAAUGAGAGUAUGAUAAGAGUACUUGAAUGAUGGAAAUGACACAAAAGUUAGCCGGCGGUCAAUAUCUUGGAUAUUUACGGCGUAAAGGUUCAGGAAAAUGGCCUUGUAAAGGUCUUACAUCAUAUACACAGGAGAUAGUUCCUGACAGUAUAAAGACCUAACUAAAGUACUUACGGUACAAGAUAAUUUCAUAGAAAAUGCCACAUCAGGCAUAGACAGAAGAAUACGAUUCCUCUUUUUGUAAGGGAAAUAAAGUAAAGCGUCUACUACUGGUGACGGUAAUUCCUCUGGUGAAUUCUUAGUUCAACCAAUUGACGUUCCAUGUCAAGUAGGUGUCUCUAUUACACCCUCUGGCGUACUUGGAGCUCUAUGACUUUGGCUCGGGUUUUCAGCUAGUGUUUGCAGCAGGUUCUCAUGGUUUCUUUCUGAUCUCUUGUGAGCAUCUUCUAGAUGAGUGGUGUGGAGGGUAUUCAUUCUUGCAUCGGUGACAACUUCGGCAAUCUGAUGUUGGGCUGUCCUGCCUUGAAUCUCAUUUUGGGCCACUCUGCGGACCAUGAUUGGCAAGAUUCUACCUGCUGAGCCCCCAUUGCUCAGGUCGUAAAAGUUUCGGUCGCCAAUAAAUGGCAUGGGCUGAUCUUGUUCUUGGCUUCAUGUUUCCAAGCAUUCCACCGAAUCAGGCGUCGGGCCAUGAAGAGCUGGACGAGGGUUAGGAAUUGGAAAGGGAGUUGCUCGAGGUAGGUUCUCAACCUCUAGUUCGGAAUUAGCAUCGGCUGAAAGGUUUUCAUCAUGAUGAUCAUCCAAAGGGAUAGGAUGAUCAUUCUCUGGUUCUUCUCCAAACCAACCAGCUAUGACUUCAUUCGGAAGAUACUGGUUGUCAAGGGGAUGGAGCCCAACUAUGAUUUCUAUGCGAGAAUUUAGGGUAAGUGGAUAAUUAUUAGACGAACUAUCUAGAUAAUUAUUUAGAAAACCCUCAUUAGUUACAUCACUAUUUGUGAAGUGCAUACCAGCUAUGUGUAAUCUAAACAGGAUAGACCUUCGAAUAAGUGACCUUAUUUCCAAAUUCACACAGAAUAGGGGUAAGGCAAAAUUAUCACUGAUUCUAAGUCUAUAACAUCCUAAUUACAUGUAGCCUUAGUGUAUCCACUUAGCAACUAUCAACUUAGUAAUGAGGAUCCCGUUUUAAUUCUCAAGUAUAAAGUACUUAUAGUAACACCAAAUACUCCUAUAGUAUUUUAAUUUUUAUGUUAUGUUCUAUUGUUCUCAUUGUGGUAGGGUUGGUAAGAUUUUAGCAUUGUUGCGACUACACACUUAAACUUAGGCACAUGCUAGUCAACCCUCGGAUAAUAUAGGCGAUCAGGCUAUAUCUUCCCAGUUUUGACCAUAUGUCUCUAAGCCCACUUGUGUUGCCCAACAAUCGUAAUUCUUUUGUACUGUCCUAGUGACACUGAUUUUAGUAUGAAUGCAGCACGUAUACUUACUUAAAUAUUUUAUUAUUUAAAGUAUAAACUCUAAAUCAGAGUAUUUUUAAUCCCAUUGUAUUUAUAGUUAGUAUAUCUUUUAUGGGUUGAUAUACUCAAUUCACUAUAAACAAUGCUCUGAUACCAAUCUGUCACACCCCAAAACCAAGAACGGCGGAAACGUUCUGGGGCGGAGGACGUCAUGUAUGCAUCACAACAAAUGUAAAGUAGUAAACAAGCAACAACAUCAUCCAUUGCAUCAAUAGUAUAAUUUUAGUUACAAGUGUUUUCUUUCAUUGUACAAGAUAUGAUAAUAACUUAUCAAAAAAAAAAAAAAAACGAGUCUUGACUGCUCCGUCUUCUCUGAACCUUGUAUCGACACCUGUCUAUUUGUAACCUGAGAAUACAAGUUAUUUUGAAAGAGUAGAUCAGCAUUUAAGCUGGUGAGUUCAUAAGUAUUUAAUGUCAUUGCUUUGAUUAGUUGAUAUGAAAGACUGGUAAAUGAAUGAUGAAACAUUUAGUAUAAGUACGAAAAGCUCUAGAAAAUCCCAUAUUUCCUACUAGUAUAAAAGUAGUCUUCUACCAAGACUCGAAUGUUUUGAAAGUAGUCUUUUACCUAGACCUGACUGUUUUGAAAGUACGCAUCUCUUGAAAAUGUGAUGGUUUUUCCUUGUUUAACUCUUAUUAGUAGUCUCUUAAGUAUACCUGAAAUGGUAUCAACUUAGAACAUCCGUAGACUGUUCAUUUACCUCUGUUGCUAACAGCCGGGUUUAGGAAUAGUUAGUCCCUUCUGUAUACCCACGAUGGUAUCAACCUAGAACAUCCGUAGAUUGUUCAUUUACCUCUGUAGCUAGCAGUGGUUAUCGGAAUGGUUAGUCCCUCAAAGUAUGAUGUGGUACUAGGAGAUAAAGUCCCAGUCUACCUCGUCGAUGAUGUGAUUGAAUCACAAGGUAAAGAUAGAAAGGCGAACAAUAUAACCGUAUCUAGACAUAUAACAUGUAAUAUUAAAUUGCCAUAUGAUGUCUAUGUAAAAGUAUUCAUGUACAAGUAUUCAUGUAUAAGUAUUCAGGUAAGAGUAUUCCUUCAUAUAACAUGUAGUAGUAAUUUGCCAUAUAAUGUUUAUGUAAAAGUAUUCAUGUAUAAGUAUUCAUGUAAAAGUAUUCCUUCAUAUAACAUGUAGUCUGGACUCAUGAAUGAACUGACUCUGGUGUAAUUUCUUGUAGUAGUGAAAAUGUUUUGUUUACUCUAAACUAUUCCUAUAAUAGUUUACUAGAAUGUAAUUGAUGAGUGUCCAAGUAGGUUUAUACACCUUUGCUACCCAGGAGUAUCGAAACUAAAUUAACUGGUGGAACAUUUAUGACCAUAUAUGUAUACAUGAUAUAUAACUAAUAUUUAAACGACCUUCGGAGGAGUACCCGAUAUCCCACCAGACCACAUCCAAAUCGAGGAAAAGGAAACAGGGUGGAUAGCCUUUCUAAGUCUUUUAAACAUUUCUUAUAUAACUAUACAUAUAGAGGCAUGCAAUUUAUAAUAUAAAAGCAUAAAGAAGUUUUGUAAACAAAACAUAUAUAUGUAUAUGGUUAUAUAUAUGUAUAAAUUUUAAAAGAUGAUUUGGUAUGUUUCGUAAUUGUUGUUCAUAUUCUUACGUUUUUAUUAGAAACUUUGCAUGAAAUAAUCCUUAAGUUUGAUACUAAAGACCUUUUUGUACUUAUCACUUUUGUAAAAAUGGUAAUUAAACAUAUUUAAAUGAUUGUGUUUUAACUUCCUUAAUGUAUAAACAUUGCUAAAAAAUGUUAGAAGGUGUUAAUAAAUGUAUAAACCACUUUUGACAGUUUUGCCCUUUACUGUCCCUGUUUUUAGAAAACUCAUAGAAAAAUCCUCGUAAGUCAAAAACUGAAUCCGUCACCUCUGAGAGUUUAUAAAAUGAGUCUACUUUGUUCCUAAUUUUUAUUAUGAUUUUUAGUGGUCUCAAACUAGUGUGAAAAUGAACAUCUUCACAGACUGGUCCGAAAUCACUUCUGAAAUGACAGGCAGUUUUAUAAAAAUCGCCAUAAAUUGUAGAAAAAUCGUAUGAACGCGUGCGAGUAGUCAUUAGAAAGGUAUAAACUUGAACUAUUUGCAUAUUGUACAGUUUUGAAAGAUAUUAAGUUUAAGAUGGUCAAAACAGUCCGUGAACAGGACUCAACUUUUCUGUAGAAAGCUGUCAUUUAAAUUUAAGUUAUGUUUAGUGUUCUAACUUGUAUUCCCCCCCUUAAAACUUGAAUAAAACAUGAAAAUGUAGGGGUAUGAACUCACCUUAUGUGAAUACUUGAAGAAUGGAAAGUUGAAGAUGAACUUUUGGUUGUUGGUUUGAUGCUCCAAAACAGCCACUCUUUUGGCUAUGUUGCUGUCACGAAAAUUUCACAGCAAA